This 586-nucleotide long non-coding RNA is filed under the name Sus scrofa (pig). RNAcentral describes it as "lncRNA (ENSSSCG00005012220.1)". Lineage: Eukaryota; Metazoa; Chordata; Mammalia; Artiodactyla; Suidae. The record is from RNAcentral.
GCAGAUGCCUGUAGCUUAGCUGCACCUGUGCAGAGUGCCAAUCGCAGCCUCACGACCCCCAGGCAUCAGGCUGCCUGGAUGUUUUACUCCGUAACUAUCUGGAGCCUUUCCCUCCCAGGAGAACCUGGUCUCUCUCCUCACUUGGCUGCACUACACUAAGACCCCACCAGGUGGAAGGUGUUAACUGCGUGCUGACCAUCAGCCAGUAGAGCCCAGACCAGCUGGAACCCAGAGCUGAUGACUGAGAUUCUCAAAUCAUCCCGUCAGCUCAUCAUCAACCAGAAAAAAAUCAUCCGUGGAGGAAUCCCUCAGCCAUCCCGCACCACUGAGUGGUAAACUGGGAACCUCCCUGUGAAACCAAGGCUCACUGGUAGCCCUACCUGGAACGGCAGUGUAAUCUCCAUGUUGCUGCAAAUGGCUUUGUUCUGGUUGAGCCGUAUUGUGUGUAAAUGCACCACACCUUUAUCCAGGUCAGUGGACAUUUAGGUCGUUUCCAUGUCUUGGCUAUUGCAAAUAGUGCUGCUGUGAACACAGGGGUGCGUGCAUUUUUUUUUUUUUUUUUUUGGAUUACUGGUUUCUCCAGAGA